RNAcentral lists this ribosomal RNA (465 nucleotides) under uncultured bacterium. Its description in RNAcentral is "partial 16S ribosomal RNA". It matches the Rfam family "Bacterial small subunit ribosomal RNA", at positions 338 to 795 of the family's 1533-position model. The record is from RNAcentral.
CCUACGGGAGGCUGCAGUAGGGAAUCUUCCACAAUGGGCGAAAGCCUGAUGGAGCAACGCCGCGUGGGUGAAGAAGGUCUUCGGAUCGUAAAACCCUGUUGUUAGAGAAGAAAGUGCGUGAGAGUAACUGUUCACGUUUCGACGGUAUCUAACCAGAAAGCCACGGCUAACUACGUGCCAGCAGCCGCGGUAAUACGUAGGUGGCAAGCGUUAUCCGGAUUUAUUGGGCGUAAAGGGAACGCAGGCGGUCUUUUAAGUCUGAUGUGAAAGCCUUCGGCUUAACCGGAGUAGUGCAUUGGAAACUGGGAGACGUGAGUGCAGAAGAGGAGAGUGGAACUCCAUGUGUAGCGGGGAAAUGCGUAGAGAGAUGGAAGAACACCAGUGGCGAAAGCGGCUCUCUGGUCUGUAACUGACGCUGAGGUUCGAAAGCGUGGGUAGCAAACAGGAUUAGAUACCCCUGUAGUC